This 270-nucleotide unclassified non-coding RNA is filed under the name Hevea brasiliensis (rubber tree). Lineage: Eukaryota; Viridiplantae; Streptophyta; Magnoliopsida; Malpighiales; Euphorbiaceae. The record is from RNAcentral.
UCGCAGGGCUCUGGCCGCGAAGACGCCGCGUCAGGCCCGCCGCGUGCGAAUGCGAACAUUCACCGGCCGAAGCUUCAAUCAGAAAUUGUUUUGGAGAACUUCGAUGACCGCGACCGCGUGCGCCCAACCAGCAGAUACGCAGGGGUCAAAAAAACGAGGGCGUCGGUGAACACGCCAGGACUGAGAUCUCACCGGCAUAGUCUUACCGGGAAACUGCGGGGUCAUCCCCCGCAACGAACGAAGAGCUCUUGAACUCUUCUGCCUGACCGG